UUGGGAAACUGGGUCUAAUACCGGAUAGGAGCCAUCUUUAGUGUGGUGGUUGGAAAGUUUUUUCGGUGUAGGAUGAGCUCGCGGCCUAUCAGCUUGUUGGUGGGGUAAUGGCCUACCAAGGCGGCGACGGGUAGCCGGCCUGAGAGGGUGUACGGCCACAUUGGGACUGAGAUACGGCCCAG
RNAcentral lists this ribosomal RNA (182 nucleotides) under uncultured Actinomycetales bacterium. RNAcentral's name for it is "partial 16S ribosomal RNA". It matches the Rfam family "Bacterial small subunit ribosomal RNA", at positions 149 to 334 of the family's 1533-position model. The record is from RNAcentral. Lineage: Bacteria; Bacillati; Actinomycetota; Actinomycetes; Actinomycetales.